Molecule: unclassified non-coding RNA, 859 nt
Filed under: Hevea brasiliensis (rubber tree)
Lineage: Eukaryota; Viridiplantae; Streptophyta; Magnoliopsida; Malpighiales; Euphorbiaceae
Source: RNAcentral
AAAAGAAAUGGAAGAAGUGAAAGUGUUAGGUUUUUGGGUAAGUCCUUUUAGUUUAAGAGUUGAAAUGGCCCUAAAACUUAAGGGUAUUGAAUAUGAGUUUAUUGAAGCACAACGUCCAAUAAAAAAGUGUCCUAAUAUUAUCAAGUAUAAUCCUAUUUACAAAAAAGUUCCUGUAUUUUUGCACAAUGGAAAUCCAAUUCCUGAGUCUCUAGUGAUUCUUGAAUAUAUUGAUGAAAAUUGGAAAGAUGGCACAUCUCUUCUACCAAAAGAUCCUUAUCAAAGAGCCAUAGCACGUUUUUGGGCUAAGUUUAUCGAUGAAAAGUGCUUGCCAGAGAUACUGAAGCUUUGUUAUGACAGCAAUUAUGAAGUAAAGGUGAAAGCCAUGGGAGAACUUCAAGAGCUACUUAAACAACUUGAGAAUGAAUUGAUGAAAGAUAAUAAUAAAAUAUUCUUUGGAGGAGAAAAUAAAGUUGGAUAUAUGGAAAUUGUUUCAAUUUUGAUAACUUAUUGGCUUGGAGUUAUGCAAGAAGCAUUGGGAGUAGACAUAUUGAACAAAAAGGAAUUUCCAAAUAUAUGUGGAUGGGCUGAUAAGGUGAUAAGUUUUAGCUUUAUGAAGGAAAAUUUGCCACCUAGAGAAAAAUUACUUGCAAUUUACAAAGAAUAUGCCCAACCACUUGUGCCACCAAAUAAUGAAAUAAAUCACACACACAAAUAAUUGUAUUGAAAUACUUAAGGAAAAAGUUGUGUUUGAUUUCACAUUGAUCAUGUGUGUGUGUUUUUUUUUUAAAAUUUGUAUAAUUGUUCAUCUUGUAAUGGUUCAAAGGUGAAAUGAAAUAAACCAUAUGUUGCAUUUCUAUGG